RNAcentral lists this ribosomal RNA (239 nucleotides) under uncultured bacterium. Its description in RNAcentral is "partial 16S ribosomal RNA". It matches the Rfam family "Bacterial small subunit ribosomal RNA", at positions 524 to 763 of the family's 1533-position model. The record is from RNAcentral.
GACGUAGGGGCUAGCGUUGUCCGGAUUUAUUGGGCGUAAAGAGCGUGUAGGCGGCCAGGUAGGUCUGCUGUGAAAACUCGAGGCUCACCUCGAGAUGUCGGCGGAAACCACUUGGCUAGAGUCCGGAAGAGGAGAGUGGAAGUUCCGUGGUGUAGCGGUGAAAUGCGCAGAGAUCGGCAGGACACCAGUGGCGAAGGCGGCCACUAGCCCGCACCUGACGCUGAGGCGACGACAGCGUG